AUUGAACGCUGGCGGCAGGCCUAACACAUGCAAGUCGAACGGUAACAGGGAUCAGCUUGCUGAUUCGCUGACGAGGGGCGGACGGGUGAGUAAUGUCUGGGAAACUGCCUGAUGGAGGGGGUUAACUACUGGAAACGGUAGCUAUUCCGGCAUAACGUCUCAAGAGCAAAGAUGGGGACCUUCGGGCCGCUUGCCAUCGGAUUUGACCAGGUGGCAUUAGCUAGUAGGUGGGGUAACGGCUUACCAAGGCGACGAUCCGUAGCUGGUCUGAGAGGGUGACCGGCCACACUGGAACUGAGACACGGUCCAGACUCCUACGGGAGGCAGCAGUGGGGAAUCUUCCACAAUGGGCGAAAGCCUGACGGAGCAACGCCGCGUGAGUGAUGAAGGUCUUCGGAUCGUAAAACUCUGUGAUUGGGGAAGAAGAAAUGUGUAAGAAACUAUGCACGUCUUGACGUUACCUAAGCAGAAAGCCACGGCUAACUCCGUG
This 490-nucleotide ribosomal RNA is filed under the name uncultured bacterium. RNAcentral's name for it is "partial 16S ribosomal RNA". It matches the Rfam family "Bacterial small subunit ribosomal RNA", at positions 30 to 507 of the family's 1533-position model. The record is from RNAcentral.